Molecule: long non-coding RNA, 245 nt
Filed under: Gossypium barbadense (sea-island cotton)
Lineage: Eukaryota; Viridiplantae; Streptophyta; Magnoliopsida; Malvales; Malvaceae
Description: long non-coding RNA (GBAR_LNC005633)
Source: RNAcentral
CCGGGUUUGGGGUGCUACAUCAUGAGUUAGAACCGCAGAGAUUUAGGCUAAGGUUCUCGAGGCUUGAAUCUUAGAUGUCAUCUUUACCAACAAAUAUCCCGAGAUGGUUAGGUAGCAUGGAGAAUUGGAAAUGGACUCAAAUUUAUGAUGAGGGGUUUUGGUCUGGCCAGAUGACGACCAACCUCAUAGAGGUGGUUAACUCCAUCUUGAGGCAGACACGUCAUUUGCCAAUUUCUGCUAUUUUC